AUACACCUGAAGAUAAAACACACCAAGACAAGAAAGACAGCAAUGGGGAGAAAAAGAGACAUUUUCUUAUGAUGGCUUUUUUUCCCAAAAUAUUUCAUCUAUUUAUUUCUUUCUC
Molecule: non-coding RNA, 115 nt
Filed under: Amorphochlora amoebiformis
Lineage: Eukaryota; Cercozoa; Chlorarachniophyceae
Source: RNAcentral